AUUGAACGCUGGCGGCAUGCUUUACACAUGCAAGUCGAGCGGCAGCGCGGGGGCAACCCUGGCGGCGAGCGGCGAACGGGUGAGUAAUGCAUCGGAACGUAUCCUCGAGUGGGGGAUAACCCAGCGAAAGUUGGGCUAAUACCGCAUGAGCUCUGAGGAGGAAAGCGGGGGACCUGCGAGGGCCUCGCGCUGGAGGAGCGGCCGAUGUCCGAUUAGCUAGUUGGUGGGGUAAAGGCUUACCAAGGCGACGAUCGGUAGCUGGUCUGAGAGGAUGAUCAGCCACACUGGGACUGAGACACGGCCCAGACUCCUACGGGAGGCAGCAGUGGGGAAUUUUGGACAAUGGGGGCAACCCUGAUCCAGCCAUGGCGCGUGAGUGAAGAAGGCCUUCGGGUUGUAAAGCUCUUUCGGACGGAACGAAAUGGGCGGGACUAAUACUCCUGUCUGAUGACGGUACCGUAAGAAGAAGCACCGGCUAACUACGUG
This 486-nucleotide ribosomal RNA is filed under the name uncultured bacterium. RNAcentral's name for it is "partial 16S ribosomal RNA". It matches the Rfam family "Bacterial small subunit ribosomal RNA", at positions 29 to 507 of the family's 1533-position model. The record is from RNAcentral.